RNAcentral lists this ribosomal RNA (498 nucleotides) under Pholoe assimilis. Its description in RNAcentral is "partial large subunit ribosomal RNA". It matches the Rfam family "Eukaryotic large subunit ribosomal RNA", at positions 585 to 951 of the family's 3401-position model. Lineage: Eukaryota; Metazoa; Annelida; Polychaeta; Phyllodocida; Pholoidae. The record is from RNAcentral.
ACCGAUGAACGUUCGCUUCCGCCUCCUCUAGGAUGGUGCGGGCCCCUGCGUGGGGUGGGGCGGUCGAGGGUGGACUGUUUACAGUGUGCCCCGGCUUAGCUCUGCCCGGCUGUGGUGUGUGCUCCCGUGUGCAAGCUUAGGGUCCGUGGCGAAUCGGUCGGCACCCUAUCAGACCCGUCUUGAAACACGGACCAAGGAGUCUAACAUGUGUGCGAGCUGUUGGGCUUUACGAAACCCGCAGGCGCAAUGAAAGUGAAGGGCGUUCUCGGAGCGUCUUGGGCAGGAUCCCCUCACGGGGCGCACUGCCGGCCCGUCUCGAUCUCCUCGUAGAUGAGGCGGAGCAAGAGCAUACACGUUGGGACCCGAAAGAUGGUGANCUAUGCUUGANUAGGAUGAAGUCAGGGGAAACCCUGAUGGAGGNCCGUAGCGAUUCUGACGUGCAAAUCGAUCGUCGAACUUGGGUAUAGGGGCGAAAGACUAAUCGAACCGUCUAGUAGC